GCCGGAGGGAAACCGAGUCUUAACCGGGCGUUAAGUUGCAGGGUAUAGACCCGAAACCCGGUGAUCUAGCCAUGGGCAGGUUGAAGGUUGGGUAACACUAACUGGAGGACCGAACCGACUAAUGUUGAAAAAUUAGCGGAUGACCUGUGGCUGGGGGUGAAAGGCCAAUCAAACCGGGAGAUAGCUGGUUCUCCCCGAAAGCUAUUUAGGUAGCGCCUCGUGAAUUCAUCUCCGGGGGUAGAGCACUGUUUCGGCUAGGGGGCCAUCCCGGCUUACCAACCCGAUGCAAACUGCGAAUACCGGAGAAUGUUAUCACGGGAGACACACGGCGGGUGCUAACGUCCGUCGUGAAGAGGGAAACAACCCAGACCGCCAGCUAAGGUCCCAAAGUCAUGGUUAAGUGGGAAACGAUGUGGGAAGGCCCAGACAGCCAGGAUGUUGGCUUAGAAGCAGCCAUCAUUUAAAGAAAGCGUAAUAGCUCACUGGUCGAGUCGGCCUGCGCGGAAGAUGUAACGGGGCUAAACCAUGCACCGAAGCUGCGGCAGCGACACUGUGUGUUGUUGGGUAGGGGAGCGUUCUGUAAGCCUGCGAAGGUGGCCUGUGAGGGUUGCUGGAGGUAUCAGAAGUGCGAAUGCUGACAUAAGUAACGAUAAAGCGGGUGAAAAGCCCGCUCGCCGGAAGACCAAGGGUUCCUGUCCAACGUUAAUCGGGGCAGGGUGAGUCGACCCCUAAGGCGAGGCCGAAAGGCGUAGUCGAUGGGAAACGGGUUAAUAUUCCCGUACUUGGUGUUACUGCGAAGGGGGGACGGAGAAGGCUAUGUUGGCCGGGCGACGGUUGUCCCGGUUUAAGCGUGUAGGUGUGUGUUCCAGGUAAAUCCGGUUCACUUUAACACUGAGGCGUGACGACGAGGCACUACGGUGCUGAAGCAACAAAUGCCCUGCUUCCAGGAAAAGCCUCUAAGCAUCAGGUAACAUCAAAUCGUACCCCAAACCGACACAGGUGGUCAGGUAGAGAAUACCAAGGCGCUUGAGAGAACUCGGGUGAAGGAACUAGGCAAAAUGGUGCCGUAACUUCGGGAGAAGGCACGCUGACACGUAGGUGAAGUGAUUUACUCAUGGAGCUGAAGUCAGUCGAAGAUACCAGCUGGCUGCAACUGUUUAUUAAAAACACAGCACUGUGCAAACACGAAAGUGGACGUAUACGGUGUGACGCCUGCCCGGUGCCGGAAGGUUAAUUGAUGGGGUCAGCGCAAGCGAAGCUCCUGAUCGAAGCCCCGGUAAACGGCGGCCGUAACUAUAACGGUCCUAAGGUAGCGAAAUUCCUUGUCGGGUAAGUUCCGACCUGCACGAAUGGCGUAAUGAUGGCCAGGCUGUCUCCACCCGAGACUCAGUGAAAUUGAACUCGCUGUGAAGAUGCAGUGUACCCGCGGCAAGACGGAAAGACCCCGUGAACCUUUACUAUAGCUUGACACUGAACAUUGAGCCUUGAUGUGUAGGAUAGGUGGGAGGCUUUGAAGUGUGGACGCCAGUCUGCAUGGAGCCGACCUUGAAAUACCACCCUUUAAUGUUUGAUGUUCUAACGUGGACCCGUUACCCGGGUUGCGGACAGUGUCUGGUGGGUAGUUUGACUGGGGCGGUCUCCUCCUAAAGAGUAACGGAGGAGCACGAAGGUUGGCUAAUCCUGGUCGGACAUCAGGAGGUUAGUGCAAUGGCAUAAGCCAGCUUGACUGCGAGCGUGACGGCGCGAGCAGGUGCGAAAGCAGGUCAUAGUGAUCCGGUGGUUCUGAAUGGAAGGGCCAUCGCUCAACGGAUAAAAGGUACUCCGGGGAUAACAGGCUGAUACCGCCCAAGAGUUCAUAUCGACGGCGGUGUUUGGCACCUCGAUGUCGGCUCAUCACAUCCUGGGGCUGAAGUAGGUCCCAAGGGUAUGGCUGUUCGCCAUUUAAAGUGGUACGCGAGCUGGGUUUAGAACGUCGUGAGACAGUUCGGUCCCUAUCUGCCGUGGGCGCUGGAGAACUGAGGGGGGCUGCUCCUAGUACGAGAGGACCGGAGUGGACGCAUCACUGGUGUUCGGGUUGUCAUGCCAAUGGCACUGCCCGGUAGCUAAAUGCGGAAGAGAUAAGUGCUGAAAGCAUCUAAGCACGAAACUUGCCCCGA
This 2156-nucleotide ribosomal RNA is filed under the name Salmonella enterica subsp. enterica serovar Enteritidis. RNAcentral's name for it is "partial 23S ribosomal RNA". It matches the Rfam family "Bacterial large subunit ribosomal RNA", at positions 665 to 2802 of the family's 2925-position model. Lineage: Bacteria; Pseudomonadati; Pseudomonadota; Gammaproteobacteria; Enterobacterales; Enterobacteriaceae. The record is from RNAcentral.